Molecule: ribosomal RNA, 590 nt
Filed under: uncultured archaeon
Lineage: Archaea
Description: partial 16S ribosomal RNA
Source: RNAcentral
GUGCUCCCCCGCCAAUUCCUCAACGUCUACCUAAACGAAGAAGACAUCCGCUUCCUGGGCGGCGAAUCCUGCUGCGUCAAGGAAGGCGAUCGCCUGCUGCUGGUCCCGUCGAUCGCCGGCGGCUCGCUCUAAGUAGCUGCAAGAGUGGAGUAUAGGAAACCGGAGCGCACAAAACCCUGCUACGCGUUGUUCUAUGAGGUGGUCGAUGAUUUCACUGCGCGGCGCGGUGUCUAUUGCGACGUGCACCUGCGCUUGGCGCGCAACGAAUUGGUCCUGGCAGAGGUGCUCGCUGAUCCGCUGCAUACUAGCCGCCAACAGCUACAGACAUCGGGCACUUGUGCACCACUCAUUUGAUUGAACUUACCGGAUCGCAUCCCGGCGGCGGGCGGAGGGAGCGAGAAACUUUGACACUUUCGUCCGCCGCCUUCCCAGACUAGGCAAAGCCCCGUUCUGCCUGGCCUUCAGUUGAAACAAUUGAACCUCGCCCAUCGUUUCUUCCUACGGUACAGUCUGGAGGUGCGUAAUGCGGCAUUCCGUCCUGGCCCUGUUUGCGUCAUUGGCCUUCCUGGUACCGGCAGGAUCAACCGGAG